CUCCCCUUUGCGCUCGCCCAUGGUGCCCUCAGUUGCCUGAGCUUGGAUCUGACUGGCCAUGGGCCCAACCAUGGAUGAGCCACCUGAGCCAAGCCCCUUCUUCAUUGUCAUCAGAACCACGAUCUCCCGCACCUUCCACCACCUUCAGCGAUGAGGCACCUAGACUCCAGCCACUCCCUCCUACUUCCAUAAAAUUCUCUGUCCGCAAAAGAUA
Molecule: long non-coding RNA, 214 nt
Filed under: Elaeis guineensis (African oil palm)
Lineage: Eukaryota; Viridiplantae; Streptophyta; Magnoliopsida; Arecales; Arecaceae
Description: long non-coding RNA (EGUI_LNC033343)
Source: RNAcentral